RNAcentral lists this transfer RNA (138 nucleotides) under Penicillium salamii. RNAcentral describes it as "tRNA-Leu". It matches the Rfam family "tRNA". From Rfam's summary of the family: Transfer RNA (tRNA) molecules are approximately 80 nucleotides in length. Their secondary structure includes four short double-helical elements and three loops (D, anti-codon, and T loops). Lineage: Eukaryota; Fungi; Ascomycota; Eurotiomycetes; Eurotiales; Aspergillaceae. The record is from RNAcentral.
GCUCGCAUGGCUUAGUGGUAAAGCGCAUCAGUAAGCAUUUCUGUCUGCACAGAAAGUCGAAUCACAUAACUAACCGCAAAUCAGCUCGUAACUCCUUAUGAAAUGAUGAGAUCCCCGGUUCAAUCCCGGGUGUGAGCA